ACCCAUGUACCUACCUAACUAUCUACCUACCUACGUACCUAACUACCUAACUAUCUACCUACCUACCUACCUACCUACCUACCUACCUACCUAUCUACCUUCCUACCUACCUACCUACCUACCUACCUACCUAUGUACCUACAUACCUAACUAUCUACCUACGUACCUAACUACUUAACUAUCUACCUACCUACCUAUCUUCCUUCCUACCUACCUACCUACCUACGUACCUACAUACCUACCUAUCUACCUUCCUUCCUACCUACCUACCUACGUACCUACAUACCUAACUAUCUACCUACGUACCUACAUACCUAACUAUGUACCUACGUACCUACGUACGUACCUACCUACCUACCUACCUACCUACCUACCUACCUACCUAACUAUCUACCUACCUACCUAACUAUCUACCUACGUACCUACAUACCUAGCUAUCUACCUACGUACCUACGUACGUACCUACCUACCUACCUACCUACCUACCUAACUAUCUACCUACCUACCUACCUACCUACCUACCUACCUACCUACCUACCUACCUACCUUCCUUCCUUCCUUCCUACCUACCUACGAGGGAAGAAUCCAGAAGUGGAUCCAGAAGUGUUUAGCAGACAGAGCCGAGUGGAGAGCUGCUCUUCCCUGGACCGUUUCUCUCUUUUCCACCUAGAAAAGUGAAGAGGAACUUUAGUUGUCUGCCAGGUGUUCUCUAGUGGACCUGCCAGGUGUUCUCUAGUGGAACUGCUAGUGGACCUGCCAGGUGUUCUCUAGUGGACCUGCCAGGUGUCUCUAGUGGACCUGCCAGGUGUUCUCUAGUGGACCUGCCCUGCCAGGUGUUCUCUAGUGGACCUGCCAGGUGUUCUCUAGUGGACCUGCCAGGUGUUCUCUAGUGUACCUGCCAGGUGUUCUCUAGUGGACCUGCCAGGUGUUCUCUAGUGGACCUGCCAGUGGACCUGCCAGGUGAUCUCUAGUGGAGCUGCUAGUGGACCUGCCAGGUGUUCUCUAGUGGACUUGCUAGAGGACCUGCCAGGUGUAACUAGUGGACCUGCCAGGUGUGACUAGUGGACUUGCUAGAGGACCUGCCAGGUGUUCUCUAGUGGGCCUGCUAGUGGACCUGCCAGGCGAGACUAGUGGACCUGCCAGGUGUGACUAGUGGACCUGCCAGGUGUGACUAGUGGACCUGCCAGGUGUAACUAGUGGACCUGCCAGGUAUAACUAGUGGACCUGCCAGGUGUUCUCUAGUGGACCUGCUAGUGGACCUGCCAGGUGUUCUCUAGUGGACCUGCUAGUGGACCUGCCAGGUGUUCUCUAGUGGACCUGCUAGUGGACCUGCCAGGUGUUCUCUAGUGGACCUGCUAGUGGACCUGCCAGGUGUACUAGUGGACCUGCCAGGUGUUCUCUAGUGGACCUGCCAGGUGUUACUAGUGGACCUGCCAGGUGUAACUAAUGGACCUGCCAGGUGUAACUAGUGGACCUGCCAGGUGUGACUAGUGAACCUGCCAGGUGUAACUAGUGGACCUGCUAGUGGACCUGCCAGGUGUGACUAGUGGACCUGCCAGGUGUAACUAGUGGACCUGCUAGUGGACCUGCCAGGUGUUCUCUAGUGGACCUGCCAGGUGUUACUAGUGGACCUGCCAGGUGUUACUAGUGGACCUGCCAGGUGUAACUAAUGGACCUGCCAGGUGUUCUCUAGUGGACCUGCCAGGUGAAACUAGUGGACCUGCCAGAUGUAACUAUGACAGUCUCCAUCUAAAAGCCUCCAAGGUGCACGGACAGGAUUCUGCAUCGCUGCACAAGCCUGUAUGUCAUUGGUGUUGUGUUUUAAUUUAAUGUAUUUAUAUUCUUAUUAAAUUGUGAACAUA
This is a long non-coding RNA of Oncorhynchus tshawytscha (Chinook salmon), 1862 nucleotides long. The record is from Ensembl. Lineage: Eukaryota; Metazoa; Chordata; Actinopteri; Salmoniformes; Salmonidae.